CCUACGGGUGGCAGCAGUGAGGAAUAUUGGUCAAUGGACGCGAGUCUGAACCAGCCAAGUCGCGUGAAGGAUGACUGCCCUAUGGGUUGUAAACUUCUUUUAUAUGGGAAUAAAAUGUUCCACGUGUGGGUUUUUGUAUGUACCAUAUGAAUCCGGAUCGGCUAACUCCGUGCCAGCAGCCGCGGUAAUACGGAGGAUCCGAGCGUUAUCCGGAUUUAUUGGGUUUAAAGGGAGCGUAGGUGGAUUGUUAAGUCAGUUGUGAAAGUUUGCGGCUCAACCGUAAAAUGGCAGUUGAAACUGGCAGUCUUGAGUACAGUAGAGGUGGGCGGAAUUCGUGGUGUAGCGGUGAAAUGCUUAGAUAUAACGAAGAACUCCGAUUGCGAAGGCAGCUCACUGGACUGCAACUGACACUGAGGCUCGAAAGUGUGGGUAUCAAACAGGAUUAGAUACCCCUGUAGUC
RNAcentral lists this ribosomal RNA (460 nucleotides) under uncultured bacterium. Its description in RNAcentral is "partial 16S ribosomal RNA". It matches the Rfam family "Bacterial small subunit ribosomal RNA", at positions 338 to 795 of the family's 1533-position model. The record is from RNAcentral.